ACUGUAGGUUGACAUUUCAUGCAUCCAAGGUUUAUGAGAGCACUAAAUUUUGUUUCAAAAUAUCCUUUCCUUAGUUACCUACCUGCGUCUCUCUCAAGUAACAAUAAUGCAGAGGGUUGAAUAUGAUUUCUUACAAACUGAAAAUUCAACAGUCCAAUUGUGUAAUAAAGAGUUAAAAACAGAAGUAUAUAAGAAAAAAGAUGAAUAUCCUUUUAAAAAUUCCUUUCAUCAGUAACAUAUGGCACCUUGGCCUACAGAACCGAAAGAUAUCCUUGGCGUCUUGUCCGAUCCGAAGUUGAACUUCAAGUCAGAUACAUCAUCAUGUUUGGGGACGCUGCUUGUUGAAGGGAAAGAAAAAACGAGGGCUGGAGUAGACCCCCUUGAGCCAAAUUUGUAUGAAGGGAUUGAUGACCCCUCGUUCUGUUGAUGCAGACCAAUGGAUGAGGAUGAUGGCAUGAUAGAGGGCGUCGGUGGCUCAGAAGAUACCCCAGAAGAUGCAGAAACUGGGAAAGUAAAUCCUGAGCUAUUAUCAGAAGAAAAUGUCCACCUUUGGUUAGGCUUAUCAAUGUUGAUAGAAGGCAACACUGGUUUUGUACCGGAAGAUUGAGGUGGAAGUUUCUUUUGAAAACUGAAUACCUCAGAACCAGCAGCAUUCGGCAGAACCUUUGAAUUUGAAACAUCCUCAUGUGCACUCAGGUGUUGAGAAUCCCGGAGUUUUCUGAAAUCUUGUGAAUGACCUGCAUAAUCACCAUCUGUUGAAGCUGUACCAACUUUCAUUUUUGAAACUGAAUUGUUAUUAUUUAUACCAACAUUAACCCCAUUAACAGACUCCUGAGGAUUACUUUUGUGAACUUGAAUGGAUUUUUCAGAAGAAUCAAAACCUCCCCAUUGAGUUGGGCUAUUACGUUUGUUGGGCAUGAUAUUUGCUAGAUCAGAGGACAGGGGUUUCUUCCAUGAAGUGGCUAGCCUCAACUCAGCAGAUUUAUCUUUAGGGGUGGGUGGAUUUCUCUCAAGGUGCUCUAAUAUUUUCCGGGCUACCAGACUAGAAUGUGCAGGAGCAGUUGGGACACUGACUUCAGAGCUUUGUGGCUGACUGCUUACAGACUGAAAUUUUGCAGAGCUAAUUUUUCCUCCAUUUUCCAAAUUUGUCUUUGGCGUGGAAAAUAAGCCUUCUGAAAUACUUAAGUUUUCCACCUGAGGACUAUUGAAAGAUGUAUGAAAAUAAUCAGAUCCUCUAGGAGUUUCUGCAAUUACUUUAUGCCGUAAUCUGCGAAUGGGCCCCACAGAUCCUUGGCCAUCAUUUAAAGCAUUGCCUCUUGAAUUUACCUGUCCAAAUGGAGUUUGAGCCUGCUGAAAGGGAGUAGCCAUCAUAUUUGGACGUCUAUCGCUAUUGCUCUGUAACUGAAUCAAUUUGGACUUAGUCUUUGAAUAAAUAGUUCUGGAAUAAGGGGUUCGGGGGAAAUUGUGAAGCCCAAAUCUCCCUCUUUGACUUUGUGGGGUUAUAUACCCACGCUGAUCCUGUACCAAGGCACCUGGCCAGCAUGGAGAUGACUUAGGGACAGGUGAUGGAAUAAAGGGUUUUAGUGCAAGCUCAUCACUGCUUGGUAUUGUCCCUUCAUCUUUUGAAACGAAGCUGUUAGUACCAAAGCCUACUUCUGAUGUUCGAUUUUCCAUAUAUGCUCUCGCAAUUUCAACUGGUGAAGUACCAACAUCAUCUUGUAGCUGUGCUUUUGACUGCAGAAGAGGGGUUGAGCUUUUCCAAAUAACUCUAUCCAAAUCUUCAUGAUUUUCUUCAAUGGACCUUGAAUUUUCAAGGCCAUUUGCAGGCUUUCGAGCAUCUACUGAAAUUGCACUUGAGUAUUUUCUUUCUUUAAUUUUUGAGGUUUCCCCAAUAGCUCUAUUCAAAUCUUCUUGCUUUUCUUCAGCUGACUUCCAAGAAAAUUCAAGGGCAACUUUAGACCCUCUAAGAUCUCCCACAGUUGUACUUAAACAUUUAUUUUCUUGCUCAACGUCAGGAAGAUCAACAGCCUUUGACUUUAUUAUCUCCAUUAGAUGGUUAAUUUCAUCCCUAGAAAAUCUCUUAUCUUUCAUUAGUUGCUCAAUUUCAGACAGCCCAUUAGGAUCAGAAACAUCAGCAUUUUGGUUUUGUUUGUGCCCAUUAAAUUCAGAUUCGCUAUUUGAUCUAUUGACUACAUGGCUACUACCAGCUACUCCAGUUGCUUUUGAUUCCAAAUUAUUCCAAGUGAAAUUGACGUCAUCGCCGCUAGCACUUUGUUCCACCUCGGUGUGCGAGUCAUCGUCUCGGCCGCUAGGAGAAGGGAGCGCAUUGACGGAUUGCGAUUUGGAGAAGAAAGAAGGGAAGAUUAGGGUGGCGCCGCCAGCUAUAAGACGGAAAGCAGGAUCCACGAGCUUGGAGAGCCAACGGCCGCGCUGCUCCUGGUUCUGCGGCGGGCGAGCGUAAGGUGUGGCCGGUGGCCUCCACGACGGCGGUUUCCUGAACUUCCCGCCUGCACCUCUCUGCUCAGUUGCAAGGGGUGCAAACGACGUCGUUUCUGGGUCUCUCUUCUCCAUAUGUUGCAGCUUCAGAGCCCCAGUCACAGACUAUUGACCACGCACAAGCACAGAAGACACAUGCACGCAGAAAAGCGCGCUUUUUGACCUUUAUUGGUUUCAGGUUUUGGCU
RNAcentral lists this unclassified non-coding RNA (2683 nucleotides) under Hevea brasiliensis (rubber tree). The record is from RNAcentral. Lineage: Eukaryota; Viridiplantae; Streptophyta; Magnoliopsida; Malpighiales; Euphorbiaceae.